GACGAACGCUGGCGGCGUGCUUAACACAUGCAAGUCGAACGGAAAGGCCCUGCUUUUGUGGGGUGCUCGAGUGGCGAACGGGUGAGUAACACGUGAGUAACCUGCCCUUGACUUUGGGAUAACUUCAGGAAACUGGGGCUAAUACCGGAUAGGAGCUCCUGCUGCAUGGUGGGGGUUGGAAAGUUUCGGCGGUUGGGGAUGGACUCGCGGCUUAUCAGCUUGUUGGUGGGGUAGUGGCUUACCAAGGCUUUGACGGGUAGCCGGCCUGAGAGGGUGACCGGCCACAUUGGGACUGAGAUACGGCCCAGACUCCUACGGGAGGCAGCAGUGGGGAAUAUUGCACAAUGGGCGGAAGCCUGAUGCAGCAACGCCGCGUGCGGGAUGACGGCCUUCGGGUUGUAAACCGCUUUCGCCUGUGACGAAGCGUGAGUGACGGUAAUGGGUAAAGAAGCACCGGCUAACU
This 463-nucleotide ribosomal RNA is filed under the name uncultured bacterium. Its description in RNAcentral is "partial 16S ribosomal RNA". It matches the Rfam family "Bacterial small subunit ribosomal RNA", at positions 28 to 502 of the family's 1533-position model. The record is from RNAcentral.